This 253-nucleotide ribosomal RNA is filed under the name uncultured bacterium. RNAcentral's name for it is "partial 16S ribosomal RNA". It matches the Rfam family "Bacterial small subunit ribosomal RNA", at positions 524 to 776 of the family's 1533-position model. The record is from RNAcentral.
UACGGGGGGGGCAAGCGUUGUUCGGAUUUACUGGGCGUAAAGGGCUCGUAGGCGGCCAACUAAGUCAGACGUGAAAUCCCUCGGCUUAACCGGGGAACUGCGUCUGAUACUGGAUGGCUUGAGUUUGGGAGAGGGAUGCGGAAUUCCAGGUGUAGCGGUGAAAUGCGUAGAUAUCGGGAGGAAUACCAGCGGCGAAGGCGGCCUUCUGGACGGUGACUGACGCUGAGACGCGAAAGCGUGGGGAGCAAACAGG